Molecule: long non-coding RNA, 573 nt
Organism: Olea europaea var. sylvestris
Lineage: Eukaryota; Viridiplantae; Streptophyta; Magnoliopsida; Lamiales; Oleaceae
Exons: 2
Source: RefSeq, a predicted model, not a curated record
AUUCAUAAACCCUCUUAUGAAGGUGCAAGGUGAACUCUAAUGGCUCAUUUCUGAAUUCUGAAGUAGGAACCGGAGGUGAGUAAUUGUACAAAAAGCAUAGAGAGACUCUGUGUGUGUGUGUCUGUUCAUCACGCGCCGGCGAGUCGCCAAGGGAGAAAUGCCAACGGCGGGCAAGGUAGGGGACUGGGCAUUCAAGGCGUUCACAGCAGGUCUCGGCGUCGCCACCAUUUAUCUAGCCGCCACCUUCUCCGUCAACGUCUACCGCGGCCUCGCCUGGCACUCUUCCCAAUCGAAAGCCAAAAAGGUGGAAUCCGAUUAUCAAAAGUCAGAAUGAAGUAUUGUUACAGUUCAAGUUGUGAUUUGCUCUUUUAAGAAUAUAUAUUAUGAAGAAACUUCAUUUAGUUGAUUAUAGAAUAACUUCUUGAGCUCCUGAGCUUGUACGUGUUCUGGUCAAAUUGCUUGGAUGUACAUUUACCUUUUUUGAAUUGUAGCAACAAAGGUAUUUCUUGAAUUGUUGGACAUGCCUCUUUGAAACGACAAUUUGCAGAAUACAGAAUGCAUUUACACAAGAAA